RNAcentral lists this ribosomal RNA (467 nucleotides) under uncultured bacterium. RNAcentral describes it as "partial 16S ribosomal RNA". It matches the Rfam family "Bacterial small subunit ribosomal RNA", at positions 28 to 507 of the family's 1533-position model. The record is from RNAcentral.
GACGAACGCUGGCGGCGUGCUUAACACAUGCAAGUCGACCGGAAAGGCUCCAGCUUCCUCGAGUCCUCGAGUGGCGAACGGGUGAGUAACACGUGGGUAAUCUGCCCUGCACUCUGGGAUAAACCUGGGUAACUGGGUCUAAUACUGGGUAUGAACUUCCUCCUUAUGAGGUUUGGUUGAAAGUUUUUCGGUGUAGGAUGAGCCCGCGGCCUAUCCGCUUGUUGGUGGGGUGAUGGCCUACCAAGGCGACGACGGGUAGCCGGCCUGAGAGGGUGAUCGGCCACAUUGGGACUGAGAUACGGCACAGACUCCUACGGGAGGCAGAAGUGGGGAAUAUUGCACAAUGGGCGGAAGCCGGAUGCAGCGACGCCGCGUGCGGGAUGACGGCCUUCGGGUUGUAAACCGCUUGCAGCAGGGACGAAGCGUAAGUGACGGUACCUGCAGAAGAAGCACCGGCUAACUACGUG